UACGUAGGUGGCGAGCGUUGUCCGGAUUUAUUGGGCGUAAAGCGCGCGCAGGCGGUCGCGUAAGUCUGCUGUGAAAUCUCCCUGGCUCAACCGGGAGGGGGCGGCGGAGACUGCGGGACUGGAGGGACCUAGAGGCCGGUGGAAUUCCCGGUGUAGUGGUGAAAUGCGUAGAGAUCGGGAGGAACACCCAUGGCGAAGGCAGCUCUCUGGUCGACAUCUGACGCUGAGACGCGAAAGCGUGGGGAGCGAACGGG
RNAcentral lists this ribosomal RNA (254 nucleotides) under uncultured bacterium. RNAcentral's name for it is "partial 16S ribosomal RNA". It matches the Rfam family "Bacterial small subunit ribosomal RNA", at positions 524 to 776 of the family's 1533-position model. The record is from RNAcentral.